GGGGGCGAUCGGAUUUGACUGGGUUACUGGCAAUCAGGGUGGCGUGCCGAGGUUGAUCAGUUGGCCUCGUAAAAAGCUGAUCACCAAUAACUGCAAAACCGCAGUUCUCUCUCGCAGCCUAGAAAUAGGCUGUGCCGACCUAAGGAUCCCCGCCUAAGGAGCCGACCGUCGGUUGCAAAUUUGGGCUGGCAUCAGUUCAACCGUCCGUUACGGCUGAUGUGAGAUUUGUGAUGGACUGGUGAUGGAUGGUCUUGUUUGCUUGAACCUCUCCAUUGCGACUUAAUCAACGAACUACGCACGUAGAGGCUUUGGUUGUGGGACAACAGGACGGGGGUUCAAUUCCCCCCGCCUCCAUGA
Molecule: transfer-messenger RNA, 357 nt
Filed under: Fuerstiella sp.
Lineage: Bacteria; Pseudomonadati; Planctomycetota; Planctomycetia; Planctomycetales; Planctomycetaceae
Rfam family: transfer-messenger RNA
About the family: Bacterial tmRNA, also known as 10Sa RNA or SsrA, is named for its dual tRNA and mRNA-like properties. Its role is to liberate the mRNA from a stalled ribosome. To accomplish this part of the tmRNA is used as a reading frame that ends in a translation stop signal.
Source: Rfam by way of RNAcentral